CACACGGCCCCCUCCACACAUGCCCCUCCACGCGGCCCCCUCCACACGGCCCUUCCACACGGCCCCCUCCACACGGCCUCCUCCUGCAACCCCCGACACGUGGAGGGCAGGGUAAAGCGGCUCCCUCCCAGAGAGAGAGCAGCAGAGAGCCGGGCUUUGGGAGGUCCCAGGAGGCCAACCCUUCCUGCACAGAUUGAGUUCAAAGGUCUUUUAGGCCAUACAGCUAUUUUCCAGGAAAAUGGACACCAACCAGUAGGGACACGGAUAUUUUCUAAGGAGAGUGGGGGACAGGGCUGGGGUGGCCUCAAAUGCAGAGGCUGUGUUGGGGGGACAGUCUUGUGGCCCCCAGGUGGCAUGAGGCAGGCAGGAGGGGGAGGGGCACAAGGCAAAGCCCCCAGUCCCUGUCUUGCCCUGUCAGUGAGGAGGAAAAGGAAGCCACCUGUCCCUGUCCCUGCAGAACCCGAGGAGCAGGCCAAGGACCGCCAGCUAUCACAGCCUCUCAUGACCCCGGCCAGGGUGGCCAGUCCUGCAGCCAGGGCCAGGUCAGAGGUCAAGCUGGCAGGUCCAGACUCAUGAGAACUGCCCGGAGGGCUUGCUCAGGCUGGUUUCUGGACCCCCAGUGAGUCUGCUGGGACCUGGAACCUGCAUUUUCGCCGUCUGCCCCCUCAGCUGCCCCCGGGACCUGGGUCUGUGGGCGCAGCUCUCCCUGCCGGGUGGGGUGUGGGAGGCAGUAGAUCCUGUUCCUGGGAGCAGUUGGUCUGGAAGGUGACAGGGUGGCCCUGGGCAGGGGGGCUGGUUCCUCUGGCCUGUGUUGAAGCAUGCCCCUGUCUGGGCUCCUGCCAUCAGCUCAGCCUCCCUGGUAGAAAUGGAGAAUUCCAGGCAGAGCUGGUCCUUCCUCCUGGAGAGCCUGCUCUAGCCAUGGUGACCCAGGACCUGAGAAGUUCUGCUCUUGGGCUGAGCCCCAGGCAGGAAGAGGCCGAGGUCUCUGGGCUCCCACAGGAGAGGAGACGCCCAGCCCAGUGCCAGCCCAUCGAGGCCGUGGACUCUGCGGUCCCCAGGCAGGGGACAUGUGCCAGAACCACCAGGAAGGCUGAGCUCUGGGACCCUGCCAAUGCUCUCACAAAGUUCUGUCAUCUCGUAAAACUCGAGGAAGACUUAGCCAUCCUCGUUUGGGACAGGUGGCCCCUUCCACUAGGUUCAUCAUAACACUCCUUUCACCUGGAGGGUCCCCGAGGAGCCGGGGGUGUGUGGGGUCCCCUGGAGGGGAGGCUGAGCUGGACACGCACUUGGCUCCAUCUGCUGGGAGCCGUUUUGGGGUUCUCAGUCACAGCGUCACUGCCUGCAGGAGCAGCAGGGAGUCCCGGGACAGGAUGGCCAGGGCCAGAGGUCACAUGGCCAGGCAGACACGUCCUCCCAGCCUGGGAGGUAUGGGGACUGCAGCGGGAGGACAUGCCGCUCCUGACACCGGCCCAUGACCUUCCUCUCCACGGCAGGCUGUGAUGGUUGGUGGGGUGGGGCGGCCUUCCAGGUGCCGGGGUUAGAAACAAAUCCCGGCAGCCCUGCAGGAGGAAGUGGGCAUUCCACGAAGGCCGUGAAGAAGCUACCACGAAAUGGGGAAAUGCGAACUUGUCAUCUCCUCUUUCUUCCCUGAAGGAAGGCUCCCCAUCGCUAUCUAACCACGGAAGUUUCAGGCCUCAGAACUCGAUCCAGGGUGGGGGCUCUGCUCCCGGAGCCUCAGGUGACACAGCAGCUGCCACUCCCUGCUCGCACCCCCCUGGCUACAGAAGAGGCCCCCUGACUAAGGAUGAGGCCCCCUGGCCACCGGGGACAGGCUGGGGCUCCCUCCCGGAUUGCCGCCAGCCCAAGCCUGGUUCUCCAGCCACCGCGAGAAAGCAGUGUUCUUCCUGAGUCCCCUCCUGGCUCUGCCCUUGCAUCUGUGCUCCUGUGACCUGCCAGGCCUCCCGCUGGCAGGGGUGUGGUUCUCCCAGUGUGGCCACUGCUGCUGUCACCAACCAAUGCACGCAGCAGGAACUGGACAUCUCAGUCACCAAGUGGGGACCUGUGUGCUCCACCCUCUGUUGUCUGUCCCUGGACAUCAGGGCCACUGUCUUCCGCCCCUGCCCUGGACGUGCAAGGUGUUGAGGCAGCUGCGUGGCCUGGCGCAGUGGGAGAAGAGAGGAAGAAGCGCCUCCCCAGAGCAAGACGCACCCUUUGGCGUGCGGGCCAGGCUCCCUCCUGACCGGACAUGGGAACACGUAACAAUAGGAACAGGCUGCCGAGCAGGGGCUGGCCUCCCCUGGGGUGGACGCAGGAGGUGGGCUGGGAGGUGGGCGUGCCUCAGGAGCCUCUGUGAUGCUCUUUAUGGCCAGGCACGGCGGCUCACACCUGUAAUCCCAACACUUGGAAGGCCGAGGCAGGUGGAUCCCUUGAGGCCAGGAGUUUGGGACCAGCCUGGGUGACCUGGCAAAACCCCAUCUCUACAAAAAAUAUAGAAAUAAAAUUAGCCAGGCAUGGUGGCA
Non-coding RNA from Callithrix jacchus (white-tufted-ear marmoset), 2519 nucleotides. NCBI's taxonomy places the organism in Eukaryota, Metazoa, Chordata, Mammalia, Primates, Cebidae. The record is from RefSeq and is a predicted model, not a curated record.